This 253-nucleotide ribosomal RNA is filed under the name uncultured bacterium. Its description in RNAcentral is "partial 16S ribosomal RNA". It matches the Rfam family "Bacterial small subunit ribosomal RNA", at positions 524 to 776 of the family's 1533-position model. The record is from RNAcentral.
UACGGGGGGGGUAAGCGUUGUUCGGAAUUACUGGGCGUAAAGGGCUCGUAGGCGGCCAACUAAGUCGGACGUGAAAUCCCUCAGCUUAACUGGGGAACUGCGUCCGAUACUGGAUGGCUUGGAUUUGGGAGAGGGGUGCGGAAUUCCAGGUGUAGCGGUGAAAUGCGUAGAUAUCUGGAGGAACACCGGUGGCGAAGGCGGCAUCCUGGACCAAUAUUGACGCUGAGGAGCGAAAGCCAGGGGAGCAAACGGG